UAAAUGGAUUACUGCUUUUUCUUAUGAGUCUUUGGGGGACGAAAGUGAACUUUGGACUGGGUCUAGUUGAAGGGGGAGAAAGAAGGGAGGGAUGUUUAUAAACUCCACGAAUACUCCAGUACCAGGCUGGAAGGAGUCAUGAGAUGGCAGAGCAAAGUUUGCAAACACUUCAGUUCACAGCAGUUUUAAAAGGCUGCUGAGAUGAUUGGCCAUCAAUUUGCUGUGGCAGAGCAGUGGGAGAAGUGGAUUACUGGCAGUAGAUGACUGUCUGCCAUCUGGAUAGAUUUUGCUGAUAAAAUGUAUAAUUUGGACACA
Molecule: long non-coding RNA, 315 nt
Organism: Pezoporus occidentalis (night parrot)
Lineage: Eukaryota; Metazoa; Chordata; Aves; Psittaciformes; Psittacidae
Exons: 3
Source: RefSeq, a predicted model, not a curated record